This 63-nucleotide transfer RNA is filed under the name Eucoleus annulatus. RNAcentral describes it as "tRNA-Trp". Lineage: Eukaryota; Metazoa; Nematoda; Enoplea; Trichinellida; Capillariidae. The record is from RNAcentral.
ACAGCUUUAAGUUAUAGAAACUGUAAACCUUCAAAGUUUAAAAAGAUGAUUUGUCAAGCUGUC